This 334-nucleotide ribosomal RNA is filed under the name Clostridioides difficile. RNAcentral's name for it is "bacterial SSU rRNA". It matches the Rfam family "Bacterial small subunit ribosomal RNA", at positions 729 to 1061 of the family's 1533-position model. The record is from RNAcentral. Lineage: Bacteria; Bacillati; Bacillota; Clostridia; Peptostreptococcales; Peptostreptococcaceae.
CUGGACUGUAACUGACGCUGAGGCACGAAAGCGUGGGGAGCAAACAGGAUUAGAUACCCUGGUAGUCCACGCUGUAAACGAUGAGUACUAGGUGUCGGGGGUUACCCCCUUCGGUGCCGCAGCUAACGCAUUAAGUACUCCGCCUGGGAAGUACGCUCGCAAGAGUGAAACUAAAAGGAAUUGACGGGGACCCGCACAAGUAGCGGAGCAUGUGGUUUAAUUCGAAGCAACGCGAAGAACCUUACCUAAGCUUGACAUCCCAAUGACAUCUCCUUAAUCGGAGAGUUCCCUUCGGGGACAUUGGUGACAGGUGGUUCAUGGUUGUCGUCAGCUC